AAGAUCUCUCACAUUUUUUCUUAAUUUCCAUUAAGUCCUUGUCCAUGUUUUCCCUUAAGUAUUUGAGCAUAUUUAGCCAAUUGUUUUAAAGUCUUCUAGUAAAUCUGAUGUUUUGGCUGCUUUGAGGAUAGUUUCUGUCAAUUUACUUUUUUUUUGAACUGUGUUUUCCUGCAACAUUGUACGCUGUGUGUGUGUGUGUGUGUGUGUGUGUUGCUAUUGUUAAAACUGAACAUUUGAUAGUUGUUAUUUGGCAGCUCUGGCAAUCAGGAUUUGUUUUUACUUUUGUUUUGUUUUGUGUCAGUUGUUGAAGGCCAUGGUAGUGUGUUUGUUUGGGAAAUUUUUUUUCCAAUUUUAUUUGUGGGGGAAUGUUAUUUCUUUUUAUAUGUGCUCAUUUAAGUGUGUUGUUUUAAUUCAUGUCCAGUUGAUGUCUUGAUGAUGAUUUCCUGGAAUGUGAAAGAAAACAAACAACACACACACAAACACACACACACACAAAUAGAGAGAGAAAUAACCAUGUUUCCCAAUCUUUGCAGACUGGCUCUGUGCUGGGGCCAACAUUCACAGACUCUCUGUGUGGUUUGCUCUGAGCCCAGAGAGAAACCUCACCUGCAGGGUCAAGUCUUCUCAAGACUGUUUUGAGACUCCAUCUUAUCUGGACAUGUGUGUGACUUUCUAAAAAUCUCCAUAUAUGCGGUGACUUUGAAAUGUUCCAAUCUCCCAGAGUCUUGCCUCAGCUCCUCCUGUGGGCCUUAGAUACCCAGUUGUGAACCUCCACACAGCAUCUCUCAUCUCAGGCAUCCGUGGGUUUGCAGUCCUUUCAUAGCCUUUAUCAGCAGUGCCCACCCGUUUUCCAUCUGUGUUCUGAGUUGUGCAAGACACAGACCAGUGAGUCAGUCCUUCAGAUAUUCCUGGACAACUUAGAAUAGAGUGCACUCUAAUUUUCAGAGUAGUCCUGGAAACUGGAAGGUUUGCCACUGCUCGAAACCAAGAUGUUGCUACCCUACCAGGGAGUGAGUGGGGGCAAGGAUGUACGGAAAUGCCACAAAACACUCCUACUAUUUUAAAGGAAGCUGUCAGUUGCUUGGAGCUAUCAAUCUGACAUACUCUCUGGUUCUACAUGGAGACUAAAAUACCAUUUCAGUCCCUAUCCCAACAUUUCUCAAAUCAUGUAACGGUUUGUGCACCUCCCCUGCAGAGGAACGGAAGAAUGGGAUAAGGGCUUCUUCCUUUUUCCCAGACUCGGCAAUCUGCAUGAGGUUUAUAGUAACCAAGCCUCCACGCCACAGUGUGGGAAGUGAAUUUAUCCCAAAUCCCCGAGAAGGAAGAAAGGAAUCUGAAAUCCCGAGCAGUGAAGGAUCCUUCCUGUGGCUGUAUAAUCAGGAUAUGGCAUGCUGGAAGGGGGGACAUAUGAAGAGAUCUGGCUCUCCACCCACUCUCCUGCUCUUCCUUCGGUUGUGACUGGCUAAUAACUACUUCUUACAUUCAGGUACACUUAUGUCUUAGCCUUUCCAACCCUCACAUAUCUGCAGAGAGCAUCGUGGAAAUCUGCAACUAAGAUACAGAGGGGACGCUCGUUCUGAAUAAAGAGGCACAGGCUCCAGGAGCUCCAGAGGUGGGUACACAGAGGACUGCGCAGUGCCAGGAUCCCAGCAAGGGACAGCAUACUGCCCACUGGUGAUGGUUAGCUCACCUUUAGUGAGGCGCUCCCAUGAGCUGGGUACUGUGCAGGUGCUGAAGUUCUGUGCCGUGUUGACCAAAAGCACUUGACAACAGCAUGGACUCUUGGCCCAAAAUGGCUUUCAAGAACUGUAUGUGUCAGCACUACAUUCACCUGCAUCCAUGCAAAUAGGUCAAGUGGUGCCAUGGCCAGACAUCUGGUUGUAAAUGGGACCUUCACAUGCCCAUGAUCAUGGCGUCUAUGAUCUUCCCAGGAAAUGCAGGGUGAUUCGCCACGUGUGUGCUUCACAGGAAGUGAAAGAGUAAGCUUGCCAUUUCUUCUGGCAUUUGCUUUUAGAUCUGCUGACUAGACCCAGCAGAUUCCAGGGAGAGUGGUGGGAGAAAAGCAGGGGAGAGGGACACAAAAUAGAAGAGGGGUGGCAGAGGCCCUUGAUCAAUUUUGCAAUUUAUCAAAAGAUAAAGUGUGGGAGAGGCAUUUUACAAUUUAUCAUAACAUGAGCUCAAGGACUUCAUUUUUAAAAAAAGUUUGCUAUCUCAUUCAAUUAUCAUUAAAAACACUCUAAAGGAAACCCACCAUUCCCAUUUUACAGCUAAAGAAACAGACAUUCAGAGACUCUAAGUUUCGACAGCUAAGGUGUGAAUUCUAGAUAGAGCUAUUCCAACGCUAGCACUCCUUAUAAAUAUAAAGCUGAUCUUUAUGAGUGUUAACUAUAAGCAAGGUUACCAUGCUAAAUAUUUUAAUUCAGUCUUUCAGUUGCCUUGUGAAACAAGCAGUAUCCUAACUUCUAUUUUUCUGACAAGCAAACCAAGGUGUGGAGAGUAGCAGGUAACUUGCCCAAGGUUAACUUGCCCAUGAUAAGCAGAAGUACCCGGAUGCAGACUGACGCCAGGGCCAUCACCUCCCCACACCAUCUGUGCUUAUCACUCAGCAUGUGACUCCAGACUCAACCUAGCCUCUCGAUGACUGAAUCUAUCCCCGGGAACCUUCAGAAUGAUGGGCUGGGCUCGGGGUACCAUAGGAGUUCUAGGUAUGGGGGGGGGGGCAUCUUGCAAAAUCCCCUUUCUACCCUCCUGAACAGCGCAUCCCAUCGGGAUGGAUGCUUCCUCAGCUCAGUCUUGGCCCAGUGUCCAGGCAGAAGUGGGCCAUGAACUUUAUCAUGGCUGACCUCCUGGUUGCAGAGUUACAGGGGGGCCACAUUUGCCUCUGUUCCUGGCAGCUUCUUGGAGCACCCCCAUGUCUCAGCAACCCAUCUGAUUGGGUCAGGAAGCCUCUCUGCGAGACACCAUCUCAACUUCCCACAUCCACGUGGCCAGUCUGGGCUCUCCGUGGAGAAACCGGAGAACUGGGAGAGCCAGGCUGGGCCCCCUGAGAAGAAGACAGAGGGAGGUUUCCCCAGAGCGCUCUUCCCCCGUCGCUCACCCCCACCCUUGCUAAGAUGGCUCCCAGGUCCUCUGCCGCCCUGCCAACCAGCCAACUUCCUGUUCUCCAAGGAUUCCGUGAGUUAACACCACCAGCCUCUCGUCCAUUCCUGAAAGGGAACCCUGAUUUUCACAGCCUGGUGCUGUAUUUAUGUUCCUUUGAAGCCCGAUUGUGAGCCGGUGUUUUUCCAGAUAAAGGUAUUUAAUUUCCUCGGAGUUCACCAGCCACCUUUCUGUCUGGCGAUGGUUCUGCAAAGCCUCCGGUAAUCCAAUCUCCUUGAAUUGGGAUGCCGGCCUCCACGGACUGGCUAGCGAUAUUUCUUUUUAUAGGAGCUGAGUGAGAAAAUAAAUAAAUAAAAUAAGAGCUUUUGAAGAGGAAAGACUGAAGAAAAUGAAACAGCCUGGCACGAAGCCUGCUCUCUUUUGUAACCUGCGGUCUUCCGCGUGAUCUGCCAUUGCGUUUUCCAGCGUGCAGGAAGGUGGAUGGUCACCACGAUGUAGGCAGGCAAAGUAAGGGGAGAGGAAGUGAAGGGGCGAGGCUGUGGCCCUGGCCAGAGCCAUCAACGGACUUGGCAAAAAGGCUCAGGAUGGGUGGCACCACCCCAGUGUUAGAGUUCUCUGGAAUCUGGCAGUGAUGUUGGAACUCUAAUAUUGGGUUAGAAGGAGGGAGAGCACCGGUUCCUUUUCUUUACAAUGUCUCCCAUUUUGAUAGGAUACAAAAGUAGAACAGGAUUCUGUUAGGCACCCUAGUGUUGUCUGGUAUGUUCUAACGGAACCAAACUGCCUAGAGCCACACUGGCUCUCAGAGGUCUCGGGAAAGGACCCCCUCCCUGUCCCCUUCACCUCCAGUACUCUCUGCUUGUUCCCUCUUCCUCUUGUUCCUUUAGGCACAUGUGACAGCCGACUGCUGCGAAUUCCAAGAAGAGAGCUCCUGCAGGAGCUGCUGUGGAAGGCCAAUCAAAGCCUCUGUCCUGAGUCCCACUGGAGACCCAGGGAGACGAUGCUCCUGCGGCUCCAAUCCCGGCGACCACUUCAAGGAAGGGAUCUUUCGGGUCCUGCUGGCCCUGUCUGCACGAGUCUCUUGAGCACACAGCAGUCUGAUAGCUGAUUACCCACAGAGACCCAGCAGUGCUGCUUCCCAUCUCAGGCUGGGGUGUCGUGCUUGGCUUGAGGAAGGUCACGUGGAGGAGUUUCAUUUGGCCAAAAAGCCUUUUGGCCUCGCAGUAAGGUUUGCCUGGGCUCCAGCCAUGGCAGAAAUGGGGUCAGCAUGUUAAACUGGCAGUGGGUGCUAUGGCUGAGAUGGCAGCGGAAACCCUGGCUUCACCGGACAGCUUCACCCUGGGAUGUCACCUCUUAUUAAACAGCUCACCCGCGGCUCCAGGGGACACGUGCAGACAGGCAAGUCGGCAGAGGCUGGCGCACGGCACCUGGGCAGGGUGCUGCUCCUGUUUCUUUCCGCUUUUCCUCUGCUCAGUUCUCUUCUGCACACCAGGAAGCACUUGGCCCCCACCCCACGUGCAGGGCAGAGGCCUCCUGUUCACUCCUUGCCACCUGAUCCCUCUCUCUGUCUCCCCUCGCCCUCUGUCUGAGUCCCUGUUGUCAGCUCAGUCUUCCCAAACCCCUGUGGAAUGGGGAAGAAUUUCCAAAGCUAACAAUUGCAAGCCUUAUAACUUCAUUGUCCUAUAAACAAACCUAAUUGCUGCCUCAAACUUCCAUUUCCACCCAAUUGUCAAAGACAUAGAGACUUUUCAGUCAUUUUAGGUUUAAAUGCACUGUUUUGCCCAUUCCCUGUAAUUUCUGGGGUAUAUCUUGGGCCUGGGGAGGAGGACUGUUGGAUGCCAUCCCACAGGGUAGGGACAGGUAUCUGGUCAGACACUGGAUUCUACUUCAUUCCCCAUACCCUUGUCUGGGGCCUUGGAAAAACUCAGGCCACUCACUGGGCCCUCUCUGUCCUGGGUCCCCACAUGCCAUGACUCACACCCUACUCCAACAUGGCAUGACACUUACUUGCCCAACUCCAGAAGUAACUAGAACUCUCCUUAUCAUUCUUGGACUCCCCAGCUAAUUCCAGAAAUAAUAUCUACCCCUCUUCAGCCCCCAGCGAGGCACAAGUUUCCUUCUGCAUUCUCACAGGUCCUGGCCAGAGCGCACUUUUCCGCUCCCUAACUUGUAUUGUCUACUGUGUGCCCAGCUUCCUUUGCUAUUCCAAAACACUUCCCUAGCAAGUCAAACACCCUGCCUUCCAAGAACACUGUCCCUGCUACGAGUGAUAAGAAUGUGUUUUGGAAACCUGAAGUCCUCAUUUGACUUCGUUUCUCCCAAGGCAAUGAUUGCUCCCUGGGACCAAGAAUGCCACUAAGAGCUCAGAAUUCCGUCCCCAGCACCAGCUUUCCUGCCGUCACCCCUCACCCGGGAACCCUGGAUGGGCUCUCAAACUGAGUCCAGUGCACUGCUGGGGCCAGAGCAUGUGGCAACGCGAUGGCGGCUUCCUGGGACACUAAAUUUUACUUGGCUUUUAGGACAAAAUGCAAGUCUUUAAGAAAAUGCCUAGUGUGGUGGGCUGCUUUGGACUACGUCCCAGAUCCUCAAGAGCUCACAUCUCAUCUCUCUCUGCUCUUGGCUCCUUCUGUGAGGAUGUUUGAGACACAACAGCUUGCGGUCCAAAUGCGUUCACUCAGUUUCCAAUGCCCUCGUACCUCCAGUCUCAUCCUACUUAUCCAAACCAAGUUCUGAGUGUGGCAACUGCCCUACCAACAAUCUCAAAGCAGCAAUGCCGGAAGGAUGCUUCAAGGUCAAGGUCAAAUGUUCCUGCGAAGCCGUCCCUGAUCCUGCCUCGGAAACAACCACUUUCUCCUCUGUGCCUCUGAAUACUUUCUUCAUGGCUCUGUUACAGCAACGAUUAGUGCGUCUCACUAGACUCCAAACCUCUCGAAGGCAGGGCUGCACCUUACUCCCUUUCCUAACUUCCUGCCUGGUACCCAGGGGUUUACAAUCAUGUCUGCUGAGUGAAUGCAGUGAGGGCUACAUGAACGUCUUCCCUUGCUUGGGAGGAAAAGCCAGAGCUGCCUAGCCAGGAGGACCUUGCAAUGCUUGUCCAUUCAUUCGUUUGCUGUCCAUUCUUUCAUCAACUACUGAUGUCAGAUGAUGUGCUGGACACUGGGGACAAAAUGCAAAAGACUGCAUCCCUGCCCUUGAAUGAAAAUCUCAACAGACACAAAAUAAAUGUCCUGAGUGUUGGUUUUUGAAGAGCUACUUAGCCUUAAGGAGCACACAUGGACGGACCUACUGGCAGCCGGGAGCACAGUCAACUCUCUCCUUGUACUUUAAUUGCUCCUUUAGGCCUAGAUUUGGAAUGAAAUUAGUUUCGAUCUCCAGUGUGCCAGGCAUGCUGUGGAGUGCUCAGUAUGAUUUUUCUCACUCAGUGCUCACAACAGCCCUGGGAGGUGUCCAUGCAGUUAUGACCUCUAUCUUCCAGAGAAGGAAACUGAGGCUCACAGGUGUUCCACCGUGUCUGUUCCAACUAGACCAUUUAUGGAGGGGUCCAUCUGACCCAAGGCUUGUCAUCUCAGAUUUCUGACGAAACUUCCUUGGGGGGCCGCACAGGGGCAGUGGAUUAAGCCGCCACCUGCAGUGCUGGCAUCAUUUAUUGGGGCAGAGUUCCAGUGUGAGUCUCAGCGGCCCCACUUCCAAUCCAGCUCCCUGCUAAUGCACUUGUGGAGGUAGCAGAAGACGCCCCAGGUAAUUGGGUUCUUGAAACCCAUGUGGGAGACCAGGAUGGAGUUCCUGGCUGCUGGAUUUGAUCUGGUCCAGCCCCAGCUGUUGUGGCCAUUUGGGGAGUGAACCAGCGAAUGGAAGGUCUCUCUCUUUCUCUGUUACUCUGCCUUUCAGAUAAAUAAAUAAAUCUUUUUUUAAAAAAAUCUGCUUUUGGGAGCAGGGCCAUCCUAAGAGCUGUUGGUAGAACCAACAUGUGGGGGCUGGUGCUGUGGCGCAGCAGGUUAAAGCCCUGGCCUGAAGCGCUGGCAUCCCAUAUGGGUGCCGGUUCUAGUCCCGGCUGCUCUUCUUCCAAUCCAGCUCUCUGCUAUGGCCUGGGAAAGCAGUAGAAGAUGGCCCAAGUCCUUGGGCCCCUGCACCCACGUGGGAGACCCGGAGGAGGCUCCUGGCUCCUGACUUCAGAUGGGUGCAUCUCUGGCCAUUGAGGCUAUUUGGGGAGUGAACCAGCGGAUGGAAGACCUCUCUCUCUGUCUCUACCUCUCUCUGUAACUCUGUCUUUCAAAUAAAUAAAAUAAAUCUUUAAAACAAAUAGAACAAACAAGCACACAGGAGGGUGAUGGCUUAAUGAGCUCCAUCCAGGGGAGGUGGGAGAGGAGAUGAAAAUAAAGAGCCCGUGGACUUUGAGAAGGCUCUCAACAGGGCGCUAGUCUACACUGAGGUCCAUGAGUGACAUGUGCAAGGUGACCACAUCCUGUGUCACCAGUCCUGGCCUUGCAACGUGGCUGCCUCCACUUGUUUCUCCACAGGGAUGAGCAGAGGACAGAAAUCAACACCAUAGGGCCGGCACCAUGGCUCACUUGGCUAAUCCUCCGCCUAUGGUGCUGGCAUCCAUAUGGGCACCAGUUCUAGUCCCGGUUGCCCCUCUUCCAGUCCAGCUCUCUGCUGUGGAGGACAGUGGAGGAUGGCCCAAGUGCUUGGGCCCUGCACCCACAUGGGAGACCAGGAAGAAGCACCUGGCUCCUGGCUUUGGAUCAGCGUAGUUCCGGCUGUAGCAGCCAUUUGGGGGGUGAACCAAUGGAAGGAAGACCUUUCUCUCUGUCUCUCUCUAACUCUGUCAAAUAAAUAAACAAAUAAAUAAAAUUAAAAAAAAAAAAGAAAUCAACACCAUAAAGCGUACACGAAGGAGAGGGUCCUGUGGCUGGCUUCUGGGGUCAGAGAUGAAAGGGGGGAACCGGACAGAUGGGUCAGCUCAGCAGCAAAUCUCAGGAGGGAAUGUGUGCCAAGAGGCCCAGUGGGAUCAGGUUUAAAGAGGGAAGCCUAGGAAAUCUCACACUCGUGGGAACAAGCCUGGGAGGGGAGCAGCGAGAGCCUUCAGAGGUCCCUUGUCACUGGCUGUUCCUGUUUUGCUCCAGGCUCCCUCUUCUCGGGCUCUCUGCACCACUGCAUAGAGACAUUCAGCUGUUCAGGGGCAGGAACGACACAGUGGAGAGCUCUAGAGGUGGAGGUUGUUCAGCGAGGUGACUACAGGCACAGUUGCACGAGUCCUGUUAGCACGGCCCAGGAGAACACAGCAGGGUUAGAUUUUGAUGAACAGCAGUAACUUUCAGCACACACCCACACUGAGCUCCCAACCCUGGGUCUUGUUCUGUAGGAGAGGCUGGGGCCUGGGUCUAAGUUCUAAGGGGCCAUCAGUCAAGUAGAGGAAACCAAGGAUUGCAGGGUUGUGUGCUGAAUGCUCCAUCCAAACUCACAGGAGGCACCCACAGGAGGUGAUGAGGGGAGUGAGGGACCCGGGGCUUCUAGGGAAACGGAUGCCUGGACAUUUCUUCUACAUCACUCAUCAAUCAGAAGAAAGACCCAGAGUCCUUCUGCGCUGGGUCUCAGGUUCACCUCUCCAUUUUCACUUUAGAUGGCUCCAGAGCAAAAUGCCUUAACUGUUUCCCUCCUC
This is a non-coding RNA of Oryctolagus cuniculus (rabbit), 8755 nucleotides long. NCBI's taxonomy places the organism in Eukaryota, Metazoa, Chordata, Mammalia, Lagomorpha, Leporidae. The record is from RefSeq and is a predicted model, not a curated record.